Molecule: small nucleolar RNA, 93 nt
Organism: Aspergillus nidulans FGSC A4
Lineage: Eukaryota; Fungi; Ascomycota; Eurotiomycetes; Eurotiales; Aspergillaceae
Source: Rfam
AUUCGGGUUGAUAACUAGGCGGCGCUUUCGAUCAUUACAAGCUCUGCCCUUUAAGUGCCCGAGAAAUUGAACCCAUCGUCUGUCGCAAGAUGG